RNAcentral lists this ribosomal RNA (459 nucleotides) under uncultured bacterium. RNAcentral describes it as "bacterial SSU rRNA". It matches the Rfam family "Bacterial small subunit ribosomal RNA", at positions 30 to 507 of the family's 1533-position model. The record is from RNAcentral.
UGAACGCUAGCGGCAGGCUUAACACAUGCAAGUCGAGGGGGUAGGGGCAGCAAUGCCUGAGACCGGCGCACGGGUGCGUAACGCGUAUGCAAUCUACCUUGUACAGGGGAAGUAGCCCACGAGAAAUUUGGAUUAAUACCUCCAUAGUAUGUGAGAAUCGCAUGGUUUUCACAUUAAAGUUCCAACGGUAAAAGAUGAGCAUGCGUCCCAUUAGCUAGAUGGUAAGGUAACGGCUUACCAUGGCGACGAUGGGUAGGGGUCCUGAGAGGGAGAUCCCCCACACUGGUACUGAGACACGGACCAGACUCCUACGGGAGGCAGCAGUGGGGAAUAUUGCACAAUGGACGAAAGUCUGAUGCAGCAACGCCGCGUGGAGGAUGACACAUUUCGGUGCGUAAACUCCUUUUAUAUGAGAAGAUAAUGACGGUAUUAUAUGAAUAAGCACCGGCUAACUCCGUG